RNAcentral lists this ribosomal RNA (679 nucleotides) under Scapomegas auritus. RNAcentral describes it as "eukaryotic LSU rRNA". It matches the Rfam family "Eukaryotic large subunit ribosomal RNA", at positions 402 to 810 of the family's 3401-position model. Lineage: Eukaryota; Metazoa; Arthropoda; Insecta; Coleoptera; Histeridae. The record is from RNAcentral.
AAACCGUUCAGGGGUAAACCUGAGAAACCCGAAAGUUCGAAAGGAGAGAUUCACCGCGACUCGUGCCGUCGGCGUGGGUGCGUACGGACGUCGUACGAGUCUCGACUCGUACGGGCCGAACGCACUCCGUCUCUUGACGCGCGAUCGCGUGCACUUCUCUCCCUGUAGGACGUCGCGACCCGUUGGGCGUCGGUCUACGAUCGGCGGUGGAGUCCGAACGACGGUCGCUUAAACGACCGCUCGAUCGAACCCGCCGUAUCCGGCCGACUCGCUCGACGGUAGAAGAGAGAGGCGCGGGGCCGCGACCAGUUCGCGUCCGGCUCGUCGCAAGCAUUGUUCGGCUUAACGACCCGGUGUACUCGGCGUCCUCGCGACUCCGGUCCCGGAUCCGAGCUACUGUUGGCGACGAUGUCCUCGGACAGACUCCGUAUACACGCCUGUCAGCGACGCUAUCGCUUUGGGUACUUUCAGGACCCGUCUUGAAACACGGACCAAGGAGUCUAGCAUGUGCGCGAGUCUUAAGGACUCCGUUACUAAACCUAAAGGCGAAAUGAAAGUGAAGGUCCGCCUCGGCGCGCGACCUAGGGAAGACGGGGACGUGCUCUCCGAGCACGUCCUCGGCACUCCCGGGGCGUCUCGAUCUCAUCGCGAGAUGAGGCGCACCCAGAGCGUACACGCU